This 507-nucleotide ribosomal RNA is filed under the name Triticum aestivum (bread wheat). Its description in RNAcentral is "partial small subunit ribosomal RNA". Lineage: Eukaryota; Viridiplantae; Streptophyta; Magnoliopsida; Poales; Poaceae. The record is from RNAcentral.
AUGAAGAGGGCAUGUGUUUGUAUUAGAUCAGAAGGUUUUGCAGUUGACAAGCUUACAGAUUUGAGCACCCCGAACAACGGGGUGGACCCUUUGACCUGUGGGUUCUGCUGGUACCAAGAGAAGGAGGUUCCUUUUAACCUGCAGGAGCUCUACCAAUGGCAGCGUGCUUUCCUUGACAAUGACGUGGUACUGCACAUAUGCAAGAUGCAGCGAGUGAAAUCGGCGCAAGAGGGCAUCUUGCAAGCAGCACCAAAUCCUAUAUUAUGGGACCGAAUGCUGGGUGCAAAACUCCAACAAUACUUCCAUCUGCAGCAACAAACUCUGGUAGAGUUAACUCACGUCAGCAUAAGGCAUGAAGCUUUGGAAUUUGCAGAAAAAGUACUUACACUAAGAGGGCACCAUGGUACAUGUACGUGUCAAAAACAUCAAGUUCAAAACUUCGUGGCAUGCUUCCACCCAAUGAUUAGUCAACAUGAUAUCAAAUUUCAAGGUUGGGGAGAAUCAUAA